ACUGUGACUUGCUUGUAACCAACAGAAUAUGGCUAAUGUGAUGAAAUGUCACUACUGAUGGAAUGUAAUUACAUUGCGUUGUAUGGCAAAGGCGAUUUGAUAUCACUCCCAUGAUUCAUGUUAUGAUAUAUAAAACUCCAUCUUAGUUGACUAGAGAGACUUUCCUAGCUUUGAAAAAACAACCAGCCAUAUGAACUACCUAUGAAAAGGGCCAUGUGGGAGAAACUGUGGGUCAUCUCAAGGACCUGAAGGGGGAUCUCCAGCUGAAAGCCAGUAAGAAGCUGGGGCCUCAGUCAUACAGCUGCAAGGAAAUGAAUUUUUCCAACAACCUGGAUGAGCUUGGAAACAGAUUCUACCCCAGUCAACUACUCAGGUUUCUACAGCAAUGUUAUCUUGAAUGGUUUGUCAACAUGUUUCACUGAGCAAACUUAAAGCAACUCUGGUAAUUACAAGUGGAACCCUGUUACAAGUGGAACCCUGACAACUUCAGAAGUGCCCAUCACAACCAAACAUUCCUGCUCUGAAUCACCUGACAUUCACUGUCUCAUUCAUGCCAGCUUCUUCAGGUGGCCCUUGAUGAUCUGCCUGCCUCCACAGAGCCUCAGAAAAUUAGCCUUUUCUUUUUUUCUAGAUUUCACUCUUCAUGAUGGAUGUGAAAGACGGUCCUAGAAAAGUCCUCUGCACAGAGCAGGGCAUAGCCUGCAUUCCAAAUUUUGUUAUUCUCAAAGGUCAAUUGUUCUCAGUGGCAGACAACAGAAGCCAAGACUUGCUAAGUGAAACAGAAGACAAAUUUGCUGGAAGGACAUGUGAAAAUGGGCACAAAUUAGGGAGCAAGGUCAUACUUGCACCACUGCUGUUAGGCUGCUACCACUGACUCCUCUGCUCCUGCACUCUCAACAGCACCAUCAGGAAAAACCCUACACACAGUUCCUUCAUCUCCGCCUUACUUGCUGAAGAUUAGAAGUCCCAGGUAGGAGUCUUUGAAUGACUAAGGCCACAUCACCGGCCCAUAUCCUGGCUACAAGGAAGCAAGGAAAGAAAAUUUUAGCCAGCCUUUUUGGCUUCUGGAAUGCGAGCAUUUUACCAAGUCACCUAAUGGUGUAGAACUCCCCAGUAGGAAAGGUUUUAGGGGCCGGGCAGCUAGAAUAAAGACAAACGGCUACUCCUCCCGUUAUCUGCUUACCUGGGCCACCUGUUCAUAGAGAACUCUGACGUCACAACAUAGUCCACCACCACUAUGAGUUUCAAAUUGGUUGCUUGUUGCAUAGUUAGGGGGAUUUUAAACUAAGCCCUCCAACCUCUCUCCCUUUGUUCCCUACAGUGGAUACACCAGUGCCCCCUCCCUAUUGCCUCGCUUCUGUGCGUGCCAGCCUGCCUUCCAACAGUCAGCAUUUACAACUUUGUUAGAGGGCUGCCCUCAGACUGCUGGAACCUACUUUGUCUCCAUGCAGGGCAGACCCAAAGUGCCUGGGUAACUCAUAACCCAUCAGGGGUAUCCUUUAACCAAAACUUACUAAGUACAAUGUAUAACUACUCCAGCUCCCUUGCCCCUUGACUGGAAUCAUAAUUAAGUGUGUGUUUUGCACAAUUUUUAAAAACUUCUCCAAAGGAUUAAACUUCAGGUGGACACUAUGGUAGUUGCCUUAAUAGUGUACCCAUUAUAGAUUAGCUUCCUUUUAUUAUUUCUUUCUCUCUCUUCUGCCCUUCUCUCUCAACAUUCCAAAUAGACUAUGUGCACUCAGUCUUUGUCUCAGCUUUGCUUCUGAGAGGAGCCCUGCUAACACAUCUCUCUUAUAUCUGAGUAUUGGCAUGCUAUUUUGCAGACAUAUUAGGAAUACUGAGACAACUAUUACCACAAAACUCUAUAAUUCACAAGAACAUUUGCAGAUACAAAUUAGGUAAACAUGAGAUCAAGAA
Non-coding RNA from Chlorocebus sabaeus (green monkey), 1917 nucleotides. The record is from RefSeq and is a predicted model, not a curated record. NCBI's taxonomy places the organism in Eukaryota, Metazoa, Chordata, Mammalia, Primates, Cercopithecidae.